This is a transfer RNA of Cavia porcellus (domestic guinea pig), 71 nucleotides long. It matches the Rfam family "tRNA". From Rfam's summary of the family: Transfer RNA (tRNA) molecules are approximately 80 nucleotides in length. Their secondary structure includes four short double-helical elements and three loops (D, anti-codon, and T loops). The record is from Rfam. NCBI's taxonomy places the organism in Eukaryota, Metazoa, Chordata, Mammalia, Rodentia, Caviidae.
GGGGAUUUAGCUCAGCGGCAUAAGCACCUGCCUUGCAAGUAGGUGGUCGUGAGUUCAAUCCGCGGUACCCG